This 432-nucleotide ribosomal RNA is filed under the name uncultured bacterium. RNAcentral's name for it is "partial 16S ribosomal RNA". It matches the Rfam family "Bacterial small subunit ribosomal RNA", at positions 29 to 506 of the family's 1533-position model. The record is from RNAcentral.
AACGAACGCUGGCGGCAGGCCUAACACAUGCAAGUCGAGCGAGGACUUCGGUCCUAGCGGCGGACGGGUGAGUAACGCGUGGGAACGUGCCCUUUGCUUCGGAAUAGCCCUGGGAAACUGGGAGUAAUACCGGAUGAGCCCUUUGGGGGAAAGAUUUAUCGGCGAAGGAUCGGCCCGCGUUGGAUUAGGUAGUUGGUGGGGUAAUGGCCUACCAAGCCGACGAUCCAUAGCUGGUUUGAGAGGAUGAUCAGCCACACUGGGACUGAGACACGGCCCAGACUCCUACGGGAGGCAGCAGUGGGGAAUCUUAGACAAUGGGGGAAACCCUGAUCUAGCCAUGCCGCGUGAGCGAUGAAGGCCUUAGGGUUGUAAAGCUCUUUCAGCUGGGAAGAUAAUGACGGUACCAGCAGAAGAAGCCCCGGCUGACUCCGU